GCCUACGGGACGCAGCAAGCGGGAAUAUUGCACAACGGGCGAAAGCCAGGUGCAGCAAUGCCGCGUGAGGGAUGACGGCCUUCGGGUUGUAAACCUCUGUCAGCAGGGACGAUAAUGACGGUACCUGUUGAGGAAGCUCCGGCUAACUCCGUGCCAGCAGCCGCGGUAAGACGGAGGGAGCAAGCGUUGUCCGGAUUUACUGGGCGUAAAGCGCGCGUAGGCGGCCUGUUAAGUCGAUUGUGAAAUUGCGGGGCUCAACCCCGCACCUGCAGUCGAUACUGGCAGGCUCGAGUUCGGGAGAGGGAAGUGGAAUUCCUGGUGUAGCGGUGGAAUGCGUAGAUAUCAGGAAGAACACCGGUGGCGAAGGCGGCUUCCUGGACCGAUACUGACGCUGAGGCGCGAAAGCUAGGGGAGCGAACGGGAUUAGAUACCCUGGU
Molecule: ribosomal RNA, 437 nt
Filed under: uncultured bacterium
Lineage: Bacteria
Description: bacterial SSU rRNA
Rfam family: Bacterial small subunit ribosomal RNA
Source: RNAcentral